Molecule: transfer RNA, 76 nt
Filed under: Roseospira marina
Lineage: Bacteria; Pseudomonadati; Pseudomonadota; Alphaproteobacteria; Rhodospirillales; Rhodospirillaceae
Also listed under: 2 other names
Description: tRNA-Trp
Rfam family: tRNA
About the family: Transfer RNA (tRNA) molecules are approximately 80 nucleotides in length.
Source: RNAcentral
AGGGGUGUAGCUCAACUGGUAGAGCACCGGUCUCCAAAACCGGGGGUUGCGGGUUCAAGUCCUGCCGCCCCUGCCA